AUGGCCAAGACACCACAAUCACAAUGUGUCUUGCAGGUCAUAGCUCCCCUUUCUGAUAUUUUCAACUCAUGGGUAUGGCUCCUGCUGGCUUCCUUCACGCUUGCUCUGCACAAAAAUACACACACACUCACACGCGCGCGCGCGCGCGCGCGCACACACACAUACACACAUACACACACACACACACACACACUCCUCAGUACUCCUGACAUCCAACCAGGUGCCGUGGAUAGAAGAGCCAUCAUCUGCCCAGCAGUCUGGCAGCCUGGAGACCUUUCCCCUGGCCUAGUGCUCGCCGACGAUCAGAAUGACAAGAAAAAAUACUUUCUGCCGCCGGCGCCGCCCCCAGGAGCCGCCGGGACCCUCGCGCCGUCGCCGCCGCCGCCUGGAUCCCCGCACCAUGUCAGCGGAGACGACCUUCAAGCAGCGCCGCACCUUCCAACAACGAGUAGAUGUCCGACUUGAAUUCAAGAGCAGCAUCCAGCCAAAAGCCCGGUGAUAACAGAACGAUACAAGGGUGAGAAGCAGCUUCCUGUCCUGGAUAAAACGAAGUUCCUUGUACCUGACGUUCGAGACGUCAACAUGAGUGAGCUCAUCAAGAUAAUUAGAAGGCGCUUACAGCUCAAUGCUAAUCAAGCCUUCCUCCUGGUGGUGAACGGACAUAGCAUGGUGAGCGUCUCCACACCAGUCUCAGAGGUGUAUGAGAGUGAGAAGGAUGAAGAUGGAUUCCUGUACAUGGUCUAUGCCUCCCAGGAGACGUUUGGGAUGAAAUUGUCAGUGUAAAACUAGAAAAAUGCAUCUAUUCUAGAAUUUUUUAAACCCUUACCAAGGGAAAAAAAGGGAUGUUACCAACUGAGAUCGAUCAGUUCAUCUAAUCAUAGAUCAUCAAACAGUAGUGUUCCCACCUAGGAGUGUUAGAAGGUGUGUUUGUAUUUCAAGCGGAAGAACUGAGCUCCAAGUGAGCACGUUCAGCUUUGGAAACUAUAUUAUUUAAUGUAGGCUAGCUUGUUUUCAAAUUUUAAAAGUUUAAAGAUAAAAUACUUUGCAUUCUAAGUUGCCAAUAAAAUAGACCUUCAAGAUAUUUUAAUGCUCUUUUCUCACUAAUAGGAACUUCCAAUUCCAGCAGUAAUUUAAAGGCUUUCAGAGAGACCCUGAGUCUUCUCUUCAGGUUCACAGAACCCACCGCCUUUUUGGAUAGAAGUUUUCUACUCAGCUAGAGAGAUUUCCCUAAGAGGAUCUGUAGGCCUCAGUUGUGAAGCAUAAUCCCUGCAAAACGCAUUUGCCAUAAUAGUUGGCACAAACGCAGGGUAAAUGGGGUGUGUGUAAGAAAACAGCCCUGACUGUAAACUGCUGCUCGAGGUUCCUGACUCCUAACAGAACUACACCCAAAGUCCACACUCUUGCAGGGGUAGACAUUUCUUAUUUGGUUUGUUCUCUAGUUACGCACAUAAAGAUACCACUCAAAAGGAAACUUGAGUAAUUUAUAAUUUCGAUCCAGUUUCUCAAAAGACCCUGGAGAAAGAGUGGCACUUCUUCUGUUUCAGCUUUUGUCGGAGUUCGAACUAGCGCCUGUGUUGGUAUGGAAAGAAGCAGUGUACCAGUGUCAUUCUUUAGGACAGCGGUAGAAACCACAGAACAGUAUAACUAAAAGCAUUAAAA
RNAcentral lists this long non-coding RNA (1659 nucleotides) under Pongo abelii (Sumatran orangutan). RNAcentral's name for it is "lncRNA (ENSPPYG00000031240.1)". The record is from RNAcentral. Lineage: Eukaryota; Metazoa; Chordata; Mammalia; Primates; Hominidae.